UUUAUCCAAUCGAAAAUUAUAUAUAUCCAGUUACUUGGAUAGAAAUCUAUUACUAUAUAUAAAAGUAGAACCCUUAAUGAAUUCUAUGUGAGAAGCUGACACGUGGCUUUCUAUAUGCUUGCCACGUGUCAAACUCAAAUAUGGAUAUUUGGUUACGAAUUAUUUAAAAUUAUUGGUUUAAUUAAUUAUUUAAAAUUAGGCAGAUAAUUAAUUAUUUAAAAUUAUUGGUUGCGAAAUAAGCAAUAAUCGGUUGCGAAAUAAGCAAUAAUCUAUUGCGAAUUAUUUGAAAUAGUUAGUUGCGAAAAAAAGGGUCACUCCUGUAAUUUUCUUAAUUCUUAAAUAUUGAUGCUUUAAAAUAGAACAUAUAUUUUUUUAUUUUAUUAUUUAAAUAUAAUGUAUUAAUUUUUUUAUUGGAUGUCUUAUUUUUUUCAGGAUAUGACACUUGGAUAUGAUUCAAUACGUGACAUCACUUCUCUUGGAGACAAAUGGAAGAUCAAAGUUAGAGUGAUUUGUCUGUAUACUAUGCCUGAAUUUCAUCGCCCAGAGAUGGUGAAUAGUUAGUUUAGAGUUAGUUCUUUAUGAUCAAAAUGUAAGAUACGAUUUCAUUUUCAAAUUUGAAAUACAUUUGCUUUAUUUUUUUUUUAUAGAGUUAGUUCUUUCUGAUCAAAAUGUAAGAUACGAUUUCAUUUUCAAAUUUAACAUACAUUUGCUUUUUCUUCGCUCUUAAAUAUUGAUGCUUUAAAAUAGAAUAUAUUAUUUCCCUACUAUCACUUCUGUAAUUUUCAUUUCGUAAUUUUUUUUUCCUACUGUCACUCCUGUAACUUUCCAUCUUCAUGCAAUAAAAUUUUUCUUCUUUAUAUUUUCUUGAAAACCAACAUCUAUAUAUUUUUAAAUCUUAAAAGUGACAGUAGGAACAUAAUAUAUGUGUGCUUACUCUAAUUUGUGUCAAAUAUGAAAGUUUAGUUGAUCUCAUUAUAUGCUUAAAUAUUAAUGUCGUUUGUAAUUUUUCAUAUCAAUUUUAGUUAUCAAUUUUAUUUCGCACAUCAAUAUGUAAAUGUAAAUUAUUUUGCACACCAAUUCAUAGAUAAUAGAGCAGGAUUUAAUUUUGCAUUUUAGUUGAAUAUUUACUUUGGUCCAAAUUUUUUUUUCUCUAGCUUGUGUAUUUUAAUAUGUACUAUAAUUAAGAUUGAUAGUAUAUUUUUUUAUUUGUUAAAAAAAAUAAAAUUAAUUAGAAAAUUUUUUUGUUAUCAUCACAUAAUAAUUUUUAUUAUUCUAUAUUAUUAUAUUAGCCGUGCAUCGCACGGGUGAAAAUCUAGUUAAUACAAAUCAUAUACCUUCUCAUUUUAGAAUUUUAAAAAAAAUAAUAAACUUUUUUAGUAAAAAAAAAAAAUAUUUAACACGGCAAGAAAAUAUAAGAUUUGUACUUUUUGUUUGUAUUUGAAAUUU
This 1446-nucleotide long non-coding RNA is filed under the name Ananas comosus (pineapple). RNAcentral's name for it is "long non-coding RNA (ACOM_LNC022808)". Lineage: Eukaryota; Viridiplantae; Streptophyta; Magnoliopsida; Poales; Bromeliaceae. The record is from RNAcentral.